RNAcentral lists this ribosomal RNA (254 nucleotides) under uncultured Delftia sp. RNAcentral's name for it is "partial 16S ribosomal RNA". It matches the Rfam family "Bacterial small subunit ribosomal RNA", at positions 99 to 354 of the family's 1533-position model. The record is from RNAcentral. Lineage: Bacteria; Pseudomonadati; Pseudomonadota; Betaproteobacteria; Burkholderiales; Comamonadaceae.
CGAACGGGUGAGUAAUACAUCGGAACGUGCCCAGUCGUGGGGGAUAACUACUCGAAAGAGUAGCUAAUACCGCAUACGAUCUGAGGAUGAAAGCGGGGGACCUUCGGGCCUCGCGCGAUUGGAGCGGCCGAUGGCAGAUUAGGUAGUUGGUGGGAUAAAAGCUUACCAAGCCGACGAUCUGUAGCUGGUCUGAGAGGACGACCAGCCACACUGGGACUGAGACACGGCCUAGACUCCUACGGGAGGCAGCAGGU